This 122-nucleotide ribosomal RNA is filed under the name Bacillus pumilus. RNAcentral describes it as "partial 16S ribosomal RNA". The record is from RNAcentral. Lineage: Bacteria; Bacillati; Bacillota; Bacilli; Caryophanales; Bacillaceae.
UACUCUGCCCCACCUUCGGCGGCUGGCAUCCAUAAAGGUUACACUCACCGAACUUCGGGUGUUGCAAACUCUUGUGGUGUGACGGGGACGUGUGUACAACGCCCGGUAAACACUAUUCACCG